GUCAAAUAAGAAUCGAGAUUAUUCAUAUUCGUUGCAGGGAUAGUAGCUUCAGAAAUGAUCUGCAUUAUCUCGUCAACACUUUGCAUAGGUUGAUCGGGUUCUUCGAACUGGUCGUUCAUCGAGUUCUCAUCCAUGAGAUCUGCUGGUAAGUUCUUUAGAAACCACUCAUGAUUCUUAAUUUCAGGAAUGGAUAUCCUCUGUUGCAAUAAAAAUCGAAUCAAUAUUAUAUAUGCUUAGAAUAUAUAAAUCUAUGUUGCUCGGACUUUUCGUUUUUCUUAAGGUACCGGUUUCUAACAGAUCUGGAUUCCCAAUGAGUUCGGGUAGCAUAGUUAUGAAUUAAACUCUGACAUUUCAGGUACAAUCAUAGACUAAGCCAUGAUAGCACAAAGAGAAAACUAACCUUUGCCGGGUCAGCAACAAAAAUCCUCGAGAUCAGAUGACGGCACUCGGGGGAUAUAUGGACGUAAUCCGGGAUUGAGUACUG
This 484-nucleotide long non-coding RNA is filed under the name Gossypium raimondii (Peruvian cotton). RNAcentral describes it as "long non-coding RNA (GRAI_LNC000852)". Lineage: Eukaryota; Viridiplantae; Streptophyta; Magnoliopsida; Malvales; Malvaceae. The record is from RNAcentral.